RNAcentral lists this non-coding RNA (109 nucleotides) under Sphingobacterium spiritivorum. RNAcentral describes it as "SAM-I sequence". It matches the Rfam family "SAM riboswitch aptamer (S box leader)". From Rfam's summary of the family: The SAM riboswitch is found upstream of a number of genes which code for proteins involved in methionine or cysteine biosynthesis in Gram-positive bacteria. The SAM riboswitch acts at the level of transcription termination control. The predicted structure consists of a complex stem-loop region followed by a single stem loop terminator region. Lineage: Bacteria; Pseudomonadati; Bacteroidota; Sphingobacteriia; Sphingobacteriales; Sphingobacteriaceae. RNAcentral also lists the same sequence under 1 other name. The record is from RNAcentral.
CGCUUAUAGAGAAAGGCCGAGGGACUAGACCCGAAGAAGCCUUAGCAACCUGUCACUUGACAAGGUGCUAAAUUCUACCCCGCCUGGACACAGGAGGGAAAGAUAAGCC